CCUACGGGUGGCAGCAGUGGGGAAUAUUGCACAAUGGGGGGAACCCUGAUGCAGCGACGCCGCGUGGGUGAAUGAGUACUUCGGUACGUAAAGCCCUAUUAGCAGGAAAGAAAAUGACGGUACUUGACUAAGAAGCCCCGGCGAACUACGUGCCUGUAGCCGCGGUAAUACGGAGGGGGCAAGCGUUAGCCGGAUUUACUGGGUGUAAAGGGAGCGGAGACGGCAGUGCAAGUGCGGAGUGAAAGCCCGGGGCGCAACCCUGGGACGGGUCUGGAAACUGUGAGGCUGGAGUGCGGGAGGGGGAGGCGGAAUUCCUGGUGUAGCGGUGAAAUGCGUAGAUAUCGGGAGGAACACCGGCGGCGAAGGCGGCCGGCUGGACCGUAACUGACGUUGAGGCUCGAAGGCGUGGGGAGCAAACGGGAUUAGAUACCCGGGUAGUC
Molecule: ribosomal RNA, 440 nt
Filed under: uncultured bacterium
Lineage: Bacteria
Description: partial 16S ribosomal RNA
Rfam family: Bacterial small subunit ribosomal RNA
Source: RNAcentral